This 480-nucleotide unclassified non-coding RNA is filed under the name Hevea brasiliensis (rubber tree). Lineage: Eukaryota; Viridiplantae; Streptophyta; Magnoliopsida; Malpighiales; Euphorbiaceae. The record is from RNAcentral.
AGAGAGAGAGAGAGAGAGGAGAAAGAUGGCUAAGGUUAUGGUAAAAUAGUUGCUAUGUUAUUGCUUUGUCAUGAUAAGCUUGAAUAUUCCUAUGCUAAUAUUUCUUUCUACACAUAUGAUGCAUCAAUACCUAAAAUUGUCCUUGAAACUUCAUUGAAAUAAAAUUAAAUUUGAGAUAUCUUUUGGUUACAGUUUCGGCAAUGGGAUUCUUGGAGUAUUCAUUUAUCGGACAAUCUAUAUAGACCAUUAUGCGCUGUGUCAUAUAGAAGUAAUGUAUUUAGGUGCCAUUCUUUUCUAGUUCCAGGCCAAACAUUUCAACUUCCUGGCAUGAAGGCCACUUCCUUGGCAUUGACAGGGUCAUAUAAUGCUUUACAAAGCAGUCCUGUCGUAUUGAAGUUGGUUCCUGCAAUUGCUGUUAUCAUACUUGCUAUAUGGGGACUGGGGCCACUCAUGCGUCAAAGCAGAAAUUUGCUACUAAAU